GGGUAUAGCUCAAUGUUACAGCACUUGCCUAGCAAGCAUGUGGUCCUGGGUUUGAUCCCCAAAACCACA
Molecule: transfer RNA, 69 nt
Filed under: Marmota monax (woodchuck)
Lineage: Eukaryota; Metazoa; Chordata; Mammalia; Rodentia; Sciuridae
Description: tRNA.Ala
Rfam family: tRNA
About the family: Transfer RNA (tRNA) molecules are approximately 80 nucleotides in length. Their secondary structure includes four short double-helical elements and three loops (D, anti-codon, and T loops).
Source: RNAcentral